RNAcentral lists this ribosomal RNA (208 nucleotides) under uncultured Syntrophus sp. Its description in RNAcentral is "partial 16S ribosomal RNA". It matches the Rfam family "Bacterial small subunit ribosomal RNA", at positions 568 to 774 of the family's 1533-position model. Lineage: Bacteria; Pseudomonadati; Thermodesulfobacteriota; Syntrophia; Syntrophales; Syntrophaceae. The record is from RNAcentral.
CGUGUAGGCGGCUGAGCAAGUCAGAUGUGAAAUCCCUGGGCUUAACCCAGGAAGUGCAUUUGAAACUGCUUAGCUUGAGUAAGGAAGAGGGAAGUGGAAUUCCUGGUGUAGAGGUGAAAUUCGUAGAUAUCAGGAGGAACACCGGUGGCGAAGGCGACUUCCUGGUCCUAUACUGACGCUGAGACGCGAGAGCGUGGGGGAGCAAACA